CCUACGGGAGGCAGCAGUGAGGAAUAUUGGUCAAUGGACGAGAGUCUGAACCAGCCAUGCCGCGUGCAGGAAGACGGCUCUAUGAGUUAUAAACUGCUUUUGUACAAGGAUAAACCUCAAUACGUAUAUUCCGCUGACAGUACUGUACGAAUAAGGAUCGGCUAACUCCGUGCCAGCAGCCGCGGUAAUACGGAGGAUCCAAGCGUUAUCCGGAUUUAUUGGGUUUAAAGGGUGCGUAGGCGGAUUGAUAAGUUAGAGGUGAAAUGUGCGAGCUUAACUCGGGAACUGCCUCUAAUACUGGUGAUCUAGAGAGUAGAUGCGGUAGGCGGAAUGUAUGGUGUAGCGGUGAAAUGCUUAGAGAUCAUACAGAACACCGAUUGCGAAGGCAGUUUACCAAGCUAUAUCUGACGUUGAGGAACGAAAGCGUGGGGAGCAAACAGGAUUAGAUACCCCUGUAGUC
This 460-nucleotide ribosomal RNA is filed under the name uncultured bacterium. RNAcentral's name for it is "partial 16S ribosomal RNA". It matches the Rfam family "Bacterial small subunit ribosomal RNA", at positions 338 to 795 of the family's 1533-position model. The record is from RNAcentral.